AUGGAGAGGGUUUUCUCCUUCAUGCAGGAAUGGCGAGAGGUUCAUGAGAAGCUGAGACGGGAGACCAAACAAACGAUUCUGCAGAGGUGGACAGUGCCAGAGGAGGGAUGGGUCAAAGCUAAUACCGAUGGAGCCACGUCAAAGUUCGGAGGCAAGAGUGGAGGAGGAGUUGUGCUUCGAGAUCAUCAUGGUGCCUUUUUGGUGGGAGCGAGCCAUUUCUUUCCUCACAUAGUGGAGGCAGAGGCUGCGGAGAUCAUGGCAUGCAAGACGGCCUUGUUGGUGGCAACGGAGGCUAAUGUUCAGAAAAUACAACUAGAGCUGGACAACCAAGCUCUAGUUCAGAUGAUUAACAACCCAGAUAGGAUUUUGGCGUCGACGGGUUCAUGGGUGGAGGAGAUCAAGAUCAUGCUUUGA
Molecule: ribosomal RNA, 414 nt
Filed under: Triticum aestivum (bread wheat)
Lineage: Eukaryota; Viridiplantae; Streptophyta; Magnoliopsida; Poales; Poaceae
Description: partial small subunit ribosomal RNA
Source: RNAcentral